RNAcentral lists this ribosomal RNA (408 nucleotides) under Acanthamoeba sp. AC.AR.001/Thailand/T4. Its description in RNAcentral is "SSU rRNA". It matches the Rfam family "Eukaryotic small subunit ribosomal RNA", at positions 750 to 1115 of the family's 1831-position model. Lineage: Eukaryota; Discosea; Longamoebia; Acanthamoebidae. The record is from RNAcentral.
UUUUACCGUGAAAAAAUUAGAGUGUUCAAAGCAGGCAGAUCCAAUUUUCUGCCACCGAAUACAUUAGCAUGGGAUAAUGGAAUAGGACCCUGUCCUCCUAUUUUCAGUUGGUUUUGGCAGCGCGAGGACUAGGGUAAUGAUUAAUAGGGAUAGUUGGGGGCAUUAAUAUUUAAUUGUCAGAGGUGAAAUUCUUGGAUUUAUGAAAGAUUAACUUCUGCGAAAGCAUCUGCCAAGGAUGUUUUCAUUAAUCAAGAACGAAAGUUAGGGGAUCGAAGACGAUCAGAUACCGUCGUAGUCUUAACCAUAAACGAUGCCGACCAGCGAUUAGGAGACGUUGAAUACAAAACACCACCAUCGGUGCGGUCGUCCUUGGCGUCUCGGUCCUUCACGGGGCCGGGGCGCGGGGGC